GAGGCGCGGAGCGUGCAGUGCGAGUGCUGCGGGAUCGCGGAGGAGUGCACGCCCACCUACAUCGGCCGCGUCCGGGCGCACUUCCACGGCAAGUGGGUGUGCGGGCUGUGCGCCGAGGCCGUCAAGGAGCGGCAGCAGCGGGACCCCGACCUCGCCGUGGCCGCCGCCGUCGACGCCACGGCCGCGCUCUGCCAGCGCUUCAACUCCACCGUCCGCCUCAACCCCAAGCUGUCCCUCGCCAGCUCCAUGCGCGACAUCGCCCGCAAGAGCUGCCAGCACCGCGGCGCCACCGGAUCGGGCACCUGCACCGCCGGCGCCGGGAUCAAUUCCUCCGACGCCGCCUGCUGCGGCGCCGGCCGCGCCACCAGCUGCGCGCUGCCCUACGUCUGA
RNAcentral lists this ribosomal RNA (390 nucleotides) under Triticum aestivum (bread wheat). Its description in RNAcentral is "partial small subunit ribosomal RNA". Lineage: Eukaryota; Viridiplantae; Streptophyta; Magnoliopsida; Poales; Poaceae. The record is from RNAcentral.